RNAcentral lists this long non-coding RNA (402 nucleotides) under Pogona vitticeps (central bearded dragon). RNAcentral's name for it is "lncRNA (ENSPVIG00000008875.1)". Lineage: Eukaryota; Metazoa; Chordata; Lepidosauria; Squamata; Agamidae. The record is from RNAcentral.
UGCUUUCCUGGGUUUCAAAUUCUGCCAAAAGAAUAUGCUCUGCUGGAGUAUACGCCUGUAAAACAAAGAUUAAACUAAAGAUAAUCUUUACAUGGUGCUCUUUGUUCUGAAGCGGUUUCCUGAAACCGUCUCCGGAGGAUUGAUCCAAGAUGACAGCUCAGUAAAUUUCAGGUCCCUGAAAGACAAAUCUUAGAAUGAGAAGAGCUGGAGGAAGAAGAAGGAAAAAAAGAUAUUCUCCAAAGACCCACCUUGAGUGACAACACAAAUGUCUGAAAACUCACCAGCUAAUCACUGAUUUGGGUUUUAAAUACUGAGGGAAUUGGAAACUGAUGACCUGGCAACCUUGUUACCUCUUAUCCUACAAAUGAAAACAUUUCCACAAGCCCAAGAUUCUUUUUUUAU